Cyprinus carpio carpio is the source of this 507-nucleotide long non-coding RNA. The record is from Ensembl. NCBI's taxonomy places the organism in Eukaryota, Metazoa, Chordata, Actinopteri, Cypriniformes, Cyprinidae.
CUUAAAAUACGUUAUGUAGGACAUAAACUAAACAAUAACAUAUCUUUCUUAGUAUAUACAAUCCGAAAAGAAAAACAAACAAUCAGAUAAUGACUAAAACCUCAGGAUAUGAGCGUGGAAGGGUGUUGGGUGGUUGUUGUGGUGCGCUGUCGCUGAGGUGAUACCUGGGAAACAGGCAGCUGGUGUCUUUCUUGUAUCCUGGGCCGUACACAAACAACGCUCGUUGCCGUGGGCGUGUACCGGCACUCGAUGAUUGACGCACUUCCACUCCACCCUCCUUCCGCCGUCUCUGAAAGCUGUUAGGCGAAUCCCACAGGUCUCCAUUCAUUACAAGUUUUAGACCAGUGAAUCUCAGACCUGGUUUUCAAACAAUGACAGGUAGCCAUCCAGACUCCAUCAAAUCAAUCUUAACAGCAGCCCGUCCAGCGAUCUAUUCAGAUAUAUCAAGAAUCUAUGAGACACACUGUAAUUAUCUGUUAAUUUUAAACCUUAUGAUGCUCGACUGCU